This 490-nucleotide ribosomal RNA is filed under the name uncultured bacterium. RNAcentral describes it as "partial 16S ribosomal RNA". It matches the Rfam family "Bacterial small subunit ribosomal RNA", at positions 30 to 507 of the family's 1533-position model. The record is from RNAcentral.
AGUGAACGCUGGCGGCAGGCCUAACACAUGCAAGUCGAACGGCAGCACAAGAGAGCUUGCUCUCUGGGUGGCGAGUGGCGGACGGGUGAGGAAUGCAUCGGAAUCUGCCCAUUUGUGGGGGAUAACCUCGGGAAACCGGGACUAAUACCGCAUACGACCUACGGGUGAAAGCAGGGGAUCUUCGGACCUUUCGCAGAUGGAUGAGCCGAUGCCGGAUUAGCUAGUUGGAGGGGGAAAGGCCCACCAAGGCGACGAUCCGUAACUGGUCUGAGAGGAUGAUCAGGCAAAAUUGGAAUGAGGAACGGCCCAGACUCCUAAGGGAGGCAGGAGGUGGGAAUAUUGGACAAUGGGCGGAAGCCUGAUCCAGGCAUGCCGCGUGUGUGAAGAAGGGCUUCGGGGUGGAAAGGACUUUUUGUUGGGAAGAAAAGCAGCCGGUUAAUACCCGGUUGUCAUGACGGUACCCAAAGAAUAAGCACCGGCUAACUUCGUG